Molecule: ribosomal RNA, 847 nt
Filed under: Nemania phetchaburiensis
Lineage: Eukaryota; Fungi; Ascomycota; Sordariomycetes; Xylariales; Xylariaceae
Description: partial large subunit ribosomal RNA
Rfam family: Eukaryotic large subunit ribosomal RNA
Source: RNAcentral
AUUGCCCUAGUAACGGCGAGUGAAGCGGCAGCAGCUCAAAUUUGAAAUCUGGCCCCCGGGUCCGAGUUGUAAUUUGCAGAGGAUGCUUUUGGCGCGGUGCCUCCCGAGUUCCCUGGAACGGGACGCCUGAGAGGGUGAGAGCCCCGUACGGUUGGACACCAAGCCUCUGUAAAGCUCCUUCAACGAGUCGAGUAGUUUGGGAAUGCUGCUCUAAAUGGGAGGUAAAUCUCUUCUAAAGCUAAAUACCGGCCAGAGACCGAUAGCGCACAAGUAGAGUGAUCGAAAGAUGAAAAGUACUUUGAAAAGAGGGUUAAAUAGCACGUGAAAUUGUUGAAAGGGAAGCGUUUGCGACCAGACCUCGUCCUGGCGGAUCAGCCGGUGUUAUUCACCGGUGCACUUUGCCAGGUCGAGGCCAGCAUCGGUCCCGGCGGGGGGAUAAAGGCCCGGGGAACGUAGCUCCCUCGGGAGUGUUAUAGCCCCUCGCGCAAUGCCCUCGCGGGGACCGAGGACCGCGCCCUCGGCAAGGAUGCUGGCGUAAUGGUCGUCAACGACCCGUCUUGAAACACGGACCAAGGAGUCGAACAUUUGUGCGAGUGUUUGGGUGCCAAACCCUCACGCGUAAUGAAAGUGAACGGAGGUGAGAGCCCCUGGGGGUGCAUCAUCGACCGAUCCUGAUGUCUUCGGAUGGAUUUGAGUAGGAGCAUGGAUGUUCGGACCCGAAAGAUGGUGAACUAUGCGUGGAUAGGGUGAAGCCAGAGGAAACUCUGGUGGAGGCUCGCAGCGGUUCUGACGUGCAAAUCGAUCGUCAAAUCUGCGCAUGGGGGCGAAAGACUUAUCGAACCAUCUA